This is a small nuclear RNA of Myotis lucifugus (little brown bat), 113 nucleotides long. Lineage: Eukaryota; Metazoa; Chordata; Mammalia; Chiroptera; Vespertilionidae. The record is from Ensembl.
GUGCUCUCUUUAGCAGCACACAUACUAAAAUAUGAACAAUACAGAAAAGAUUAGUAUAGUCCCUGCACAAGAGUGACACGUUAAAAAAAAAAAGACGAGUAUACCAAAUAGUU